RNAcentral lists this ribosomal RNA (322 nucleotides) under uncultured eukaryote. Its description in RNAcentral is "partial 18S ribosomal RNA". It matches the Rfam family "Eukaryotic small subunit ribosomal RNA", at positions 1470 to 1796 of the family's 1831-position model. The record is from RNAcentral.
CCCUUAGAUGUUCUGGGUCGCACGCGUGCUACACUGAGUGGAUCAGCGGGUCAGGUUGCGCGAAAGUGUUUCCUAAUCUUGAAAUCCGCUCGUGAUGGGGAUUGACGGUUGCAAUUUUCCGUCAUGAACGAGGAAUACCUUGUAAGCGCGGGUCAUCAUCCCGCGCUGAAUACGUCCCUGCCCUUUGUACACACCGCCCGUCGCUCCUACCGAUUGAGUGGUCCGGUGAGGCUUUGGGAUCUGAGCGGAAAGAGCGUUUCGCUGUUUCUGCUCGGAAAACUCAGUCGAACCUUAUCAUUUAGAGGAAGGAGAAGUCGUAACA